AAUGUUGGACAAUGGGCGCAAGCCUGAUCCAGCCAUGCCUCGUGAGUGAAGAAGGCCUUCGGGAUGUAAAGCUCUUUCGGACGGAAAGAAAUCGCGCAGGCUAAUACCCUGCGCGGAUGACCGUACCGUCAUUAGAAGCACCGGCUAACUUCGUGUCAGCCGCCGCGGUCAUACGUAGGGUGGGAGCGUUAAUCGGAAUUACUUGGCGUAAAGCGUGCGCAGGCGGUUGAUUAAGACAGACGUGAAAUCCCCGGGCUUAACCUGGGCACUGCGCUUGUGACUGGUCAGCUAGAGUACGGCAGAGGGGGGUGGAAUUCCACGUGUAGCAGUGAAAUGCGUAGAGAUGUGGAGGAACACCGAUGGCGAAGGCAGCCCCCUGGGCCGAUACUGACGCUCAUGCACGAAAGCGUGGGUAGCAAACAGG
This 424-nucleotide ribosomal RNA is filed under the name uncultured bacterium. RNAcentral describes it as "partial 16S ribosomal RNA". It matches the Rfam family "Bacterial small subunit ribosomal RNA", at positions 360 to 776 of the family's 1533-position model. The record is from RNAcentral.